GUGCUAAUGAGACAGAAAAGGGCACUGAAAGAUCCGGUCACCCAGGGACCUCUCAAUUGCUCAGAUUUGGAGAAGGUGGGGAGAGAAGAUUGCGUCAAACAGACCUGAGAUCCGAUCCCAGCUCAGUCAUUUCCAGCUGUGUGACCUUGGCAAUGGAUGGCGCCUCUCCUUCCAUCCUCUACAGAAGGAGGAAGAGAUGUUUAAAGUGGAAAUAAGAGAAUUGGAGUUCUGAAAAUGUGAGAAUCAAAUCUACAGCCCCAUUUGUUCAGUGACUUCCUAUCUCCACCCCGUGAAGUUCACCAGAGGCACCGAGGGAACUUGCCCAGAUGGUUGUGGUGGCAUUGUCCCUGGUGUGUGAGGAAUUUUGGAGAAUACAAGAGGUGUAAAACUACUGUAGAUGAAAAUAGGAGGUUCUAAUCUUUAAGAAGAGGGAAAGAUAUUUUCAAAAUUCUGGGGUUUCAUUACCACAACUGUUGUGGAAGGUUAGAGAAAAAAAGAGGGACCAUCAGGAGCUAGAUGGGGUUCACUAAUUAAUCCCCGACUACUCAAGUGAGAAUGGGCAUCACCUGGGAGACUGUCAGAACGUCAAGAGGAUCCCACUCCACUCCGCACCUGUGAAUCACAGUUUGCACUUAACAAGAGGCAUAGAUGAGUCAAAUGUACAUUCAAGACCAAGAUGCACACCAUAACCUGUUCGUUUUUGUUUGUUUGUUUGUUUGUUUUUGAGACGGUCUUGCUCUGUCACCCAGGCUGGAGUGCAAUGGCGCGAUCUCAGCUCACUGCAACCUCUGUCUCCCGGGUUCAAGCGAUUGUCCUGCCUCCACUUCGUGAGUAACUGGAAUUACAGGGGUGCAUCACCAUGCCUGGCUAAUUUUUGUAUUUUUAGUAGAGACAAGAUUUCACCAUGUUGAGGCUAGUCCCGAACUCCUGAGCUCGUGAUCUGCCCUCCUCAGCCUCCCAAAGGGCUGGGAUUACAGGUGUGAGCCACUGUGCCCAGCCCGUAACCUGUUCUUCAACCCUAUAAGUAGGUGAGUGAUUGUAAAGGUGCCAUGGAAAGCUAAAAGUUCCUUCAGGAACCUCUUCCUCCAGGAGAGGAUUGGAGGGGCACUGUGCAGGGCGGGGUUCUGCCUCCUUUGCCCCAUGGUUUCGUUCACUUGUUUUACACAGUGGGCUUCCAACUAAACUUUCCUUUGAAGAGCCGGG
This 1203-nucleotide long non-coding RNA is filed under the name Homo sapiens (human). Its description in RNAcentral is "non-protein coding lnc-TTC24-1:1". The record is from RNAcentral. Lineage: Eukaryota; Metazoa; Chordata; Mammalia; Primates; Hominidae.